RNAcentral lists this ribosomal RNA (497 nucleotides) under uncultured bacterium. RNAcentral's name for it is "partial 16S ribosomal RNA". It matches the Rfam family "Bacterial small subunit ribosomal RNA", at positions 28 to 507 of the family's 1533-position model. The record is from RNAcentral.
GAUGAACGCUGGCGGCGUGCCUAAUACAUGCAAGUCGAGCGAACGGACGAGAAUCUUGCUUCUCUGAUGUUAGCGGCGGACGGGUGAGUAACACGUGGAUAACCUACCUAUAAGACUGGGAUAACUUCGGGAAACCGGAUCUAAUACCGGAUAAUAUUUUGAACCGCAUGGUUCAAAAGUGAAAGACGGUCUUGCUGUCACUUAUAGAUGGAUCCGCGCUGCAUUAGCUAGUUGGUAAGGUAACGGCUUACCAAGGCAACGAUGCAUAGCCGACCUGAGAGGGUGAUCAGCCACACUGGAACUGAGACACGGUCCAGACUCCUACGGGAGGCAGCAGUAGGGAAUAUUACGCAAUGGGCGAAAGCCUGACGGAGCAACGCCGCGUGAGUGAUGAAGGUCUUCGGAUCGUAAAACUCUGUUAUUAGGGAAGAACAUAUGUGUAAGUAACUGUGCACAUCUUGACGGUACCUACUCAGAAAGCCACGGCUAACUACGUG